UUUAAAAUCAAUUUUUCCAUAUUUUGAAUUGCAACUAACUCUUUGCAUGCCGUGUAUGUUUUGCCAUGCUAUGAAACUGGUUUUACCUCUGUCUCAACUGACAGUGUUAAUGCUGAAAUCGUUCUUUCAAAAGACUUUAUUUUACUCUUCAUAUCUGAGAGCUGCCCAGUGAACAAUAUUAUUCGGUGGCAUAUAUACAUAUAUGCUCAGAAGGUAAAUUCUGCAUGUGGAAUGGGCAAUGGGCUCUCUUGUCCUUUACCUCAGGCUGAAAAAUGUCUUGGGCCCUUCCUGGUCUUGAUGUGGAUCAGAACAGGAGCUUCUUGUGGCUUAAUAAUAUUUGUGCACUACCUCGGGGAGCCAGUGUACAGCCAGACUCCUCCCCACAUUUUAUAAUUGCUUGAUUGAUGUUGCAAUCAGACUCGCUAAAGGAAGAUCCCAAACGGCGUAAUUGUGAGCCUGGCCCUGCAUUGGUUUCAGUUCAUUAAUGAAAGCAUCACCCAUAAUUAUUAUGCCUAAAAAAGCUUUUUAUAUGCACAGUGACACACUUUAGGGUGUGUGAUCACUGUGUCACAGGCACACUUCUCAGGUGCAGGAAGCACUUGAACUUUGACCUUGCUCCUCACAAUUUCAUCUCAGGCGUGCUUCGGUGGCAUUAUAGGCUUAUGCUGUCUGCUGGUGCCUGCUCACUGAGCUCUCUGAAGUAGCCCCCUAGGCUUGGGGCCUCACUCACAAACAAGGGGUGUAGGAGCUUUUAGAUGUGUAGCGCUUGCCUUUCCCAAAGGCUCUGAAUGGGUGGUAGAUUUAUGGAACUAUUAAAAAGGUCUGAGGUGAAAGUUCAAACCCAAAACAGACAAAGGGAAAUGAGAGUACAAAAAAAGAAGGAAACAAAAAGGAUAAGGCUGAAAAUACCCAUAAAUAAGACUGUUUAGGGAGGGCGGGGUGAAGAGUCACCAGUGUCACCCCACCCCAGGUUAUUCUUCUGGGAAAACCCCAUAUCUUUGGCUGGCUCAGGGACUUGUUAUAAAUAAUUAUAAAGUCCUAGGUACUUUGGAGGAAAGAAAGUACACUCACAAGCCAUCACAGUUAUUAUUGGCACUUCUGGUCUGGAAUUUUCCAUACUAACAUCCAGUGCAAAGUAUAAGGUAGAGAGGCCAAGGCCUAAGGCAGGGAUAGCCAAUGUGUUGACCUCUGGAUGUUGUUGGACUACAACCGCCAUGGUCCCUGAUCACUGGCUGUAGUAACUGGGAUUGAUGGUGUCAAACGCCCUGUGGAUAUGUCAUCAAGACAGUGGUCAGGUGAUGGUGCAGAAUGGGAGGAGCUCAGAGAGAUGGAGGAGGCUGGCCUUGGGGAAGGUUCUAGUGUGCUGGGGGAUGACCGUCUAGGACUCCAGGAUGGGACUGGUGCAGACAGAGCUAGCUGCUCCGGCACCUGGAACGGCACACAUGCUGUGCACCUGGGGGCGGGGCUAGCUGCCUGCAGGGGCAGGGCUAGCCACCCGCGGUGAGCAGCGAGCCUCCCAGGGGGUGGCGUGGUGAUAUCACCCCCGCUCAGGGAUGACACCCGGGGCAGACCACAUCCACCACACACCCCUCCUUCCCCCGUGUUUCCAGGGAAGUGUCCCAGCAGGUUGAGAGGUGGGGAUCUGGAGCCAGGAGAAGAGCCUAGUGAUCUGUAUGAAGAACAGCCACAUCUGUGAUACCAAACACUGCAAGCACUCAGUCACCAGCUGCUGAAGUCCAACUGUGAGUUGGCUCCUCUGACUCCAUCUCCAAGGACAUGGUGGUUACACAGCCAGAGCAAGCAAAAGCUCUAUAUGCCCAACCUCAACAAAGGAGUACCCUUUUGCUAGCCCAGUCUGAUGUAGUUGUGCCUUCCAGCAUUUCAACAGGAAAGUAUAGUCAAAUGUUGGAUCAACAUCUUAGCUAAGCCUAGCCAUGUUUCAUAAUUCUCUGCCAAACUUUACCUCUUUAUAACCUGUAGACCUGCGUGGGAAUGUUGUUUUCAUUUCAUCAAUAAAGCUUUCAAAACUUUUAGUCCUGGUAUCAGUUGGAGUUCUGAGCCUGACGUGGAGAACCAGGACAGAUGGGAGUCCUAGAGCCAGUUCAGUCAUUAGGUAGGGUGAGGCUGCUGCUUCAGACUGCAGAAGCCCCCAAGGGGUCAGAUCUCACCCAAAAUCAACACAAUCUUGUCCCAAAUCAGUGCUGAUGGUAGUGCUGCUUCUCUGCCAGUGACAGAUGUGUCAGCGGCAGCAGAGGAGGUGGCAGCAGUGGGAGCAGGUAGGCGGCGGUGGGAGCUGCAGCAGGGGCAGGGCAUAGCAGCACUUCCCAUUUUGCCUCAAGCAGCAAAAUGGAAUGUGCCAACCCUGGUCCUAAUAUAUAUGGGGAGCUACCAUGUUGGCUCAUUCUGGCCUGCUUUACACAUACUCUGCUGGCCAAUGGCAAUUUUCACUCUGUGUGCCUGUGCGCGCACGCUAGUUAUGGAUACCAAAGACAGAGCCCUUUUGCCUCAGGGUAAAUUUUGUAUUUUGGACCUGCAUUUAUAAUGUAUCAUAGCCUAUUAUUAUGUGAAGCAAAAAAAGUAAUGACAGGAACUGCUCUGAAAAUAUCACUCGCCUUUUUUGUACUUCAAUUUUGAAUAUAUUUAUAGGUGAGACUCUUGAAAUAUUGACCCUUCCAAACUUUCUGAGAAUUCCAAAUUCACAAAGUGAAGUGAGAGGCCAGCUCUGAUAAAGUGAAGAACCUUGUUUUGUUGAGUAAUUGUGAAAGUGUAUGACUGUUUUUAAGAUUUGCAGAGGGCAAAUAGUGACUAAUAAAGGACAUUUUUUAAAGAGAGACAAAAGAUACCAUACAAUUUAAAAUGUAAGCAACCUUGCUUACAUUUUAAAUUGUGUGGCAUUAUUUGUCUCGUUACAUACUUAGUUGAUGGACAUCCUGACCCACUACUACUUCAAUAAGAAACUGCCUUGAUUUUGUUGGGGCUUAAGGAUAUACAGUAAAUCUGAAGAUGACAUUACUCUUUGCAAAUAAAUGGAAGAAAACUUGGGAGUUGAACCUGUCUUCAGCAUUUGUGCUCCAGCGUCACGGAGGAACUGAGCUACCCAAAAGCUUUCUCCCUCAGGCUUCCCAUUCUUUGCUACAGCACUCAGCGAUGGGUAACAUAAAGGGGCAGAGGCUGGAGACGGGGUGUGUCGAUGGGUGUGCAUAUGCGCCCAUGUACACUGAUUUUAAAGUGAAUAGUAGAGCUUUGUCAUUAUGGGCUGGGGAGGUGGAUUCAGUCUCCAUGUUUGAGGAUGUGUGCAUGAAGUGCUUGUGCGCUGCAAUCCACAGGAGCAUUUUUGUUUUGAUGUGCUACGUGAGUGUGCCACUCUGUGUGAAUUUGGGCGUCCAUGUUGGGUUUGAGGGCUGACUGUCUACCUGUCUCUUUAUUUUAAUGUGUAGCUCCUGGGUUGAGGAUGGGGCCCAUUCCCUCUACCAUAGUAUCCCUAGAUCUAGAAUCUGUGCUGCAUGUUAUCCAUAAGCUUCACAUUUGCUGCUUAAAUCCUCCUAAUGUCUAUCUACAGUGGUGCCCCGCAAGACGAAUGCCUCGCAAGAUGAAAAACUCGCUAGACGAAAGGGUUUUUGGUUUUUUGAGUUGCUUCGCAAGACGAAUUUCCCUAUGGGCUUGCUUCGCAAGACGAAAACGUCUUGCAAGUUUGUUUCCUUUUUCGUAAAACCGUUAAUACCCAGGGUGCAUUGCUUGAAGAGGUGCAGUUGCGACUUGACUUCGAGGAGCAACACAUUGCACACGGUGUGGUAGCCUUUUUUGAGGUUUUUGAAGACUUUGGUGAUUUUUGAAGCUUUUCCAAAACUUCUUUUGCAGCCAUUUGGUAAGUUAAACUUUUAAAACUUUUUUUGGGGUUUUUGGAUUUUGGGUUGGGGUGUUUGGAAUUCAAGGACUUGGUGUUGGGGAGGGGUUUGCAAGAAUCUGGAAGCUUGUGUGUGUUUUUUUCUGCAUUUUUAUGAUUUUCUGUGACCAUUGGGCCACUCUGCUGUUUUUUUAAAAAAAAUUCUGGGUUUGAAUUUCUGUGUGGUGGGUGGCUGGGUGCUUUUGAAUUUUUUGGAUGUGAAGCACUGAUAUUUUUUGGGGGGGGGUUGUGCAGGUAGGAGCUGUGCUGCCAUGGGACCCAAGAAGACUGCUGCUGCAGAGGCCGGUGAGGGGAAGAAGGAGAAGGUUACGCUGGAAAUGAAGAAGGAGAUCAUCCGGAAGCACGACGGUGGAAUGCGUGUGACAGACCUCGCCAGGGAGUACGGGAGGAAUCCAUCGACCAUCGGGACCAUCCUGAAGAUGAGGGAGAAGAUCCUUGCGACUGAUGCAGCCAAGGGAGUCACCAGGAUCGUGAAGAACCGCCCAGCUGUUCUGGAGGAGGUGGAGAAGUUGCGGCUCAUCUGGUUAGAAGAGAAGCAGUGUGCAGGGGACACAGUGACUGAGGCCGUCAUUUGUGAGAAGGCCAAGGCCUUGCACGCAGACCUCGUCCAGGAACAGCCAGGAACCUCAGGCGAGCCAGAAGUCUUCAAGGCAAGCAGAGGCUGGUUUGACCGGUUCAAGACAAGAUCUGGAAUCCACAGCGUGGUCAGGCAUGGAGAGGCUGCCAGUUCUGAUGUUUCUGCGGCUGAAGACUUUGCAGCGGAGUUCCUGGAGGUUGUGAAGACGGAGGGCUACGUUCCACAGCAGGUCUUCAACUGCGACGAGACUGGGCUGUUUUGGAAGAGGAUGCCAAAAAGGACUUUCAUCACACAGGAGGAGGCCAAGUUGCCUGGCCACAAGCCCAUGAAGGACCGUCUGACCCUGCUCUUCUGUGCCAACGCAAGCGGCGACCUGAAGAUCAAGCCCCUGCUGGUGUACCACUCGGAGAACCCACGGGCCUUCAAGAAACACAAGGUCGACAAGGAGCAGCUGAGUGUCAUGUGGCGAUCCAACAGUAAGGCUUGGGUCACACGUGUGCUGUUUGUGGAUUGGGUCAAUCUUGCUUUUGGCCCUGCUGUCAAACAGUACCUGCUGAACAACGACCUGCUGCUGAAGGCUUUGCUUCUGAUGGACAAUGCUCCUGCUCAUCCUAAAGGCCUUGAGGAGGGCUUGUUGGAGGAGUUCAGCUUCAUCAGCAUCAUGUUCCUGCCGCCUAACACCACGCCACUGCUCCAGCCGAUGGAUCAGCAGGUCAUCGCCAAUUUCAAAAAACUCUACACCAAGGAGCUUUUCAGGCGAUGCUUCAAGGUGACUGAUUGCACCACCAUCACCCUGCGGGAAUUCUGGAAGGACCACUUCGACAUCGUCACCUGCUUGAAGAUGAUCACCACGGCCUGGAACGGGAUCAGCCAGAGAAAUUUAAAUUGCACUGGCGCAGCCUGUGGCCGGACUGUGUGGCACCAAGUGACUCUGAUGCACCAGAGUCAACAGUGGUGCAGGACAUUGUUGCCUUGGGGAGGACCAUGGGCCUGGAGGUCACAGAGGAGGACAUCAGUGAGCUGGUGGAGGAGCACGACCACGAGCUGACCACCCAGGAGCUGGUCGAACUGCAGGCAGAGGCUGCGCAGGAGCAGGCCUUGCUGGAAGAGGAGGAAGCAACUGAGGAAUGGCUGUCCUCCAAAGAACUGAGGGACAUUUGCCUGAAGUGGAAGGAUGUGCAGGUUUUUGCACAGCGGCACCACCCUGACAAGCACGUGGCACAUGACCUUGCGAACACUUUUGAUACGAGGGUCAUGUCGCCUUUCAGGGAGGUGCUGAAAAGGCGGAUGAAGCAGCAGACCAUGGACAGGUUCUUCAGCAAGAAGCAAAGAGUGGAAGAGGAACCUUCUUCGAGUUGUCCCUCAGAGUCUUAGAAAAUGUACUGUAC
RNAcentral lists this long non-coding RNA (5869 nucleotides) under Podarcis lilfordi (Lilford's wall lizard). Lineage: Eukaryota; Metazoa; Chordata; Lepidosauria; Squamata; Lacertidae. The record is from RNAcentral.